Molecule: long non-coding RNA, 3198 nt
Organism: Camelus dromedarius (Arabian camel)
Lineage: Eukaryota; Metazoa; Chordata; Mammalia; Artiodactyla; Camelidae
Exons: 4
Source: RefSeq, a predicted model, not a curated record
UAGGCCACAAAGUGAUUGGCCAAGGGGAGAGAAAUCUGACAUGAAUCUCAAAGUGUCUACAAGUUUUUUGGCGAGCAGAUUUGGAAAAUUAAAUGCUGGCACAUCUAAUGCAACACAGAGAAAAAUGGGCGAGACUGCACUUGUGCCAAAAAGUUUGUUAAUUGUACUUCAAUCUAUCCCCAUUCAUGGCACCGUCAUUCCCCUGGUUGCCAAAGCCAAAUUCCUGGGAGUUUUCCUAGAGGCCUUCCUUCACCUCCAAUCAGUUAACUGCUUUUACUGAGUUUCCUACAAAGCGAGUUUUGUACCCCGUCAUCUACUGCACCUGUGGCUCUGCCCUCUUCAUCUCACCCGGAUGCUGGUAAUAGCACUUAACCUCUCUCCCUGUCACCGGUCUCUCUCACCAUGAAGCUGGUCUUCACACAGCCAUCAGGAAGAUCUCUGUGAAGGACAAAUCUGAAAUAUGCUCUCUGACUAAAACAUCGGUGGUCCCCUGUGGGUACAAGAUAAAUCUCACGGCACCAAGACCUCCUAGGAUUUCCACCCUUUCCAGAUGGACACAAUUUUCCAGUAAACAGAGUUUUAUUCUGCAAAUAGACUAAGCUGCUUGUGAUAAGGGAAGACCUCAUGGAACUUAUGACAUUAGAGUAAGUACUGAAGUUUGAGAAGAAACAAGCAGUGGCUAUCAGGAGGAAAAGCAUUACAGACAGAAGGAACAGCAAGUACACAAGCCUGGAGUAGGACUGUGCUCACAAAGGCUGAACCAGCCCAGAGGAAAGAUCUUUUGCCCGUGGAGAGGCUCAGGUUUCUCAGGGAGCAGAGGCUUCCCCCCACCACCACUUACCGAGGACCAGCAAGGAUGCCCACAGUAUCAUGGAAGCCUGUUCUGGGAUCCUGAAGAGGAGCAGCUCUCAGGAGGUGGGUCAGUUCCCGGAGCUGGGGAGUGAGUUCAGCAAGGAGCUUCUCUGAGUAUAGCUGGCUGUGAUAAUGAAGUGAAAGGGGGAAGUGGAGGAACAUCUUAAAACACCAAACAGCAUGUUACCCGGUUGAGAGAAUCUCAGCGGCAAAAGUCAGUAUUCUAUCAAAGUAUUUAAGUGCUGCUCUGACAUCUUGGUAUGAAUAGCUUCUCAAGGCUCUAGUUGUCACAGUUUCGGAACCCUCCGGCCUCUGUUUUCCAAGGAAGGUGCAACUUAUUCUCUCUGCUACCAGAUGUCAGGUAAGACUGCAGUGCUGCUGAGAUUUGCAUAAUCCAAGGAUGUGCCUAAAUCACUCCAGAGUUGGAAAACUUCUCAUUCAGUGCAGAAAUGCCCUCCUCCGACCCCUGACAGCCUCUGCUGGACCGUUUCCAUCUGAUCAUGUACAUGUGAUGAAGUAUCUGCAUCAUAAGACAACUCGUAUCUUGUCUGACAUACAUGAAACUGUCCUGAUUCAUUUGUCUCAGAGGAAGCUACAAACUCUGAUCUGAGUAGGAUGCAAACUAAACAAUUUUUAAAACACUUUUUUAUUGAGUUAUAGUCAGUUUACAGUGUUGUGUCAAAUUCCAGUGUAGAGCACAAUUUUUCAAUUAUAUAUGAACACACAUAUAUUCAUUGUCACAUUCUUUUUCACUGUGAGCUACACAAGAUCUUGUAUAUAUUUCCCUGUGCUGUACAGUAUAAUCUCGUUUAUCUGUUCUACAUAUGCCUGUCAGUAUCUACAAAUUUCAAACUCCCAGUCUGCCCCUUCCCAUACCCCUCCCAAAACUAAACAAUUCAUUACAGCCCCAUCACUCUCUUCCUGGAGGAUGGACUGUGAAAUUUUUAACUUAAGGUCCCAGAAUAUAAAAUUUGCUAUAGGAAUGUCUCAACAAAUACAUAUUGAUUAUAUGGCUGUAUGUUAGGCAUGGUGCCAGGUGAUGGGAGCAUAGAGCUAAGCAAGACUUGAUAAGCUUUUGAUCUAGUGGGGAGACAGAAAAGCCAAUAGGGAGUUAAAUACAGAGUGGAACGUGUUCUGAUAGUUCAAUAGGAGGGAACUCUGACCCAUUUCUGGGGAAUCAGGAGAGGCUUCCCGGUGGAAGUAAUAUCCAAAUUGAAGGAUAUUAUUCUGUGACUGAGAGAUAAGCGUGGACGAAAGUGGAAGGCAGUCACCAUCACCGUUAUCAUCACAGGCAUGAUGUUUGCCAGGUUUCUUCAGGGUAAAGUUAACCAUAUGUCCUUUUCCAUACUCUAUCGUUUGGAAGCAAGUCACUAAGUUCACCCCACACUCAGGAGGUGGGGCUGGGAGGGGGUUAAGUUCCAGCUUCUUAAGGAAAAUUUUUCUUUUCUUCUCCAUUUAUUUAUUUGUUUGUGUAUUCAUUCAUUCAAUCAAUCUUUGUUUAUAACACUGUGGAAUCAUCUAUUUAUUUUAUAAUUUAGGUAAUAAUCUAAUGUGACUUUAUUUGUUUCAUCACUUAAAAUGUUUCGGCUUUGGCCCUUGGGAGCCCUUUCAAUUUAGCCUCUAUUUCCCUUUGACAUGCCCUCAUCCUUUUGUUUGUUUGUUUGUUUGUUUCUUUUGAGCACUUCCUGACUUUCUAACACUACAAGAUGCUCUAGUGCCCCAGCUCUGGAAUUUGCUAUUUCUCCAAGGAGCCCUGAUUCCUUUCAAUGAAGAAGAAAUUUAGAAGCCAAAAUCUGGAUGUUGGGGAUGUUCUUACUACUGGGGAAAAAAUUACGUAUUUUAAGAGGGAUGAUAAAGGUACCACUGUGUGUGGGAUGUGUAAGAAGCUUGGACAUGCAGGCUGAUUUGUCCACAUGGAUGUUGCUGUGUGGUAGAGCUGGGGGCAGGAGAGAAGGAGAAAGUUGCAGGGUUGGGACAUGUGACCAGAGCUUGCAUUUCUUAUGAUGCUGUGAUCCAGCAUGGAAUUCCAAAGAUAUAAGAAUUUUAUAUUUGAACUUAGACUACCAGGUUAUUAUAAAGGUAUAUUUGUCAAAAUGGUAAGAGAAAUCAUAUUAGUUUACUAGAUUGAUUUAUAAUUCUUAAACCUCCAGAUAUAUACAAGGAAGGCUUCCAUUUGUACUCUUGUCUUGAACCCUGCAAAUGUUUAAGAGGCACCUGACAUUUAUUUGGAAGGGGAAGUGAGAUACUGUUUUCCAUUGAUUUUUUAUAUGUAGAAAUUGAAUUUCGUACAACUUCACUUCCAGUGGCCAAAGCAUUUCGAAGAAGAAUCAUCAAAAUAAAAAUUUU